AAUCAGACACAGCUGAUUUUAAAAUGUGCAUAGCAGCCAGCUUUCCCAUGUGACACAGGCUCAUUUUCCCCAGCUUAUAGCUCCUUGUCAUUGUUGAAGCACACGGGCCAACAGAAAGACAAACACCGUCAGGACACAGCGUGCUACUAACCUGCUCAUGAACUUGUAACGGCGGGGCAGGCUUCAACUGAAACUGAAUGGAAUAAUAAUGAAACAGGUGCUUUUUAAGUAUAUCCUGAACUGUUACUGAACUCUCUCACUUCUGUAAAUGAACCCAGCCACGAUGUCAUGAGAAAGCCCAGGCAGCAUGUGAAGAGGCCCACAGCCCACAACCCUGGCUGAGCUUUCAGCUGACAGCCAGCACCAACAUUCCAGCCAUGUCCCUUCAGCUUUCCUGAGAUACACAAGGACUCUCAGCCCAAGAGGUGACAGAGUUGAAUGCCUGAGCUUCAGGAACAGGAUGACCAGGGAUUGAAGUCACUCCCUUCUUUAUCAAUACCAUCAAUAUCAACAACAGCCAUGCAUUAAAGUUGUCAAUAUGUCCAGACUCUUUCCUAAGCAUAUUGUAAUUUAUUAACUCAUUUUGUCCUCAUAAUAGCCCUUGAGAUGGGAAUCAUCUGAUACUUAACAAACAAAGAAACUAAGGCACAGAGAGAUUAACAGCUUUACCCAGUUACUUAGUAAGUGGUGAAGUAGUAAGUGGAUCUAAAUCCCAGCUGUCUGACUUGAGAGCCAGUCUUCACAUACUCUAUUCUUCCCCUCAAACACAUAGGCCUCUUUUCUGAUUCAAGAGUCUGAUGUUAAGAGUGCUGAAAUAAGCUGGUCCAACAUGGAUAAAAGAAUGGAAGCCCUACCCCCUGGACACUACAACAAACCAUAUAAUGUUGGAUCAAGGGUCAAAUCCAGGGAUUCUCAGCUAGGGAUGAUUCCUCCCUCCCCCGACACCAGGACGUGUGACAAUGCUUGGAGGUAUGUUUGGUUGUUAUUAUUUGAAGGAGGUGCUACUGACAUUUAGUGGGUAGAGGCUAGAGAUGCUGCCAAAUAUCCUGUAAAGCACAGAAUAGCCCUCUACAACAAAGAAUUAUCCAGCCCUAAAUGUCAAUAGGGUCAAUGUUGAAAAACCCCAGAGAUGAAUUGACUGUUGUUACCCAGACUCAGAUGUGAAAAUCAGCUAUCCACAAUCUUUUUGUAGCAAACUCAGGAUUCCACAAGCUAAGCACUGUAAUAAGUCUUUGGAAUAUAAAAACCAGUAAGACAAAGUCCCUCUCUCAAAACAGGAGAGACAUGUGUCCAUGUGUUC
This is a long non-coding RNA of Cercocebus atys (sooty mangabey), 1300 nucleotides long. RefSeq lists it as uncharacterized. NCBI's taxonomy places the organism in Eukaryota, Metazoa, Chordata, Mammalia, Primates, Cercopithecidae. The transcript has 4 exons. The record is from RefSeq and is a predicted model, not a curated record.